Molecule: ribosomal RNA, 253 nt
Filed under: uncultured bacterium
Lineage: Bacteria
Description: partial 16S ribosomal RNA
Rfam family: Bacterial small subunit ribosomal RNA
Source: RNAcentral
UACAAAGGGUGCAAGCGUUGUUCGGAAUUAUUGGGCGUAAAGCGCGUGUAGGCGGUGGUUCAAGUCGGGUGUGAAAGCCCUCAGCUCAACUGAGGAAGUGCGCCCGAAACUGAAUCGCUAGAGUGUCGGAGGGGAAGGCGGAAUUCCCGGUGUAGAGGUGAAAUUCGUAGAUAUCGGGAGGAACACCAGUGGCGAAGGCGGCCUUCUGGACGAACACUGACGCUGAGACGCGAAAGCGUGGGUAGCAAACAGG